GGAGGGUUGAACUGAGCCUGGGUGCCGGCCGCACCCUUAACUCGCCGAGGGAACUCCGUUAGCGCUGUUUGUGUUUGAAAAAGAAGGGGUUCUGCGUUUCAGGGUUAGCGCGGUGAGAGUUCGCCGAGCGUGUGCGUCGACUUUUCAGUCUCGAAAGAUAAGGAUCUGGAAUUGGGGGGUGUGGGUUACAGCCCAGGAGAAAACCUGAGACAAGAGCAUCGCGCCUUUAACUCUUAGACCCUCGCAAGGCUGCACGGAAAGGUAGCAAGUCAUCAGAUCGCCGGGGAAAAGAGACGUUCUGCAGUUUACAGAAAUCAUUUGCUUGUACAGUGGGGCUGAGUGUCCAAGAAGGGAGUGACCGUUUCAUGAUCUACUAAAUAAAUAUACAACUAUUGA
Long non-coding RNA from Mesocricetus auratus (golden hamster), 396 nucleotides. RefSeq lists it as uncharacterized. The transcript has 2 exons. The record is from RefSeq and is a predicted model, not a curated record. Lineage: Eukaryota; Metazoa; Chordata; Mammalia; Rodentia; Cricetidae.